GAUGAACGCUGGCGGCGUGCCUAAUACAUGCAAGUCGAGCGAACAGACGAGGAGCUUGCUCCUCUGACGUUAGCGGCGGACGGGUGAGUAACACGUGGAUAACCUACCUAUAAGACUGGGAUAACUUCGGGAAACCGGAGCUAAUACCGGAUAAUAUAUUGAACCGCAUGGUUCAAUAGUGAAAGACGGUUUUGCUGUCACUUAUAGAUGGAUCCGCGCCGCAUUAGCUAGUUGGUAAGGUAACGGCUUACCAAGGCGACGAUGCGUAGCCGACCUGAGAGGGUGAUCGGCCACACUGGAACUGAGACACGGUCCAGACUCCUACGAGAGGCAGCAGUAGGGAAUCUUCCGCAAAGGGCGAAAGCCUGACGGAGCAACGCCGCGUGAGUGAUGAAGGUCUUCGGAUCGUAAAACUCUGUUAUUAGGGAAGAACAAAUGUGUAAGUAACUAUGCACGUCUUGACGGUACCUAAUCAGAAAGCCACGGCUAACUACGUG
This 497-nucleotide ribosomal RNA is filed under the name uncultured bacterium. Its description in RNAcentral is "partial 16S ribosomal RNA". It matches the Rfam family "Bacterial small subunit ribosomal RNA", at positions 28 to 507 of the family's 1533-position model. The record is from RNAcentral.